This 505-nucleotide ribosomal RNA is filed under the name uncultured Glomeromycotina. RNAcentral describes it as "partial small subunit ribosomal RNA". It matches the Rfam family "Eukaryotic small subunit ribosomal RNA", at positions 591 to 1092 of the family's 1831-position model. Lineage: Eukaryota; Fungi; Glomeromycota. The record is from RNAcentral.
CCAAUAGCGUAUAUUAGUGUUGUUGCGGUUAAAAAGCUCGUAGUUGAAUUUCGGGAUUGGGAUAUAUCGGUCAUGCCUUUAGGGACAUGAAUCGGUGUGUGAUCAAUUCUCACCUUCUGGUGAAUUGGGAUGCUCUUGGGUGUUUCGAUGAACUAGGACAUUUACUUUGAAAAAAUUAGAGUGUUUAAAGCGGGCAUUUUGCUUGAAUACAUUAGCAUGGAAUAAUAAAAUAGGACGGCAUGAUUCUAUUUUGUUGGUUUCUAGGAUCACCGUAAUGAUUAAUAGGGAUAGUUGGGGGCAUUAGUAUUCAAUUGUCAGAGGUGAAAUUCUUGGAUUUAUUGAAGAAUAACUACUGCGAAAGCAUUUGCCAAGGAUGUUUUCAUUAAUCAAGAACGAAAGUUAGGGGAUCGAAGACGAUCAGAUACCGUCGUAGUCUUAACCAUAAACUAUGCCGACUAGGAAUCAGACGAUGUUAAUUUUUUAAUGACUCGUUUGGCACCUUACG